RNAcentral lists this ribosomal RNA (1235 nucleotides) under metagenome. RNAcentral's name for it is "bacterial SSU rRNA". It matches the Rfam family "Bacterial small subunit ribosomal RNA", at positions 280 to 1498 of the family's 1533-position model. The record is from RNAcentral.
CGGGUAGCUGGUCUGAGAGGAUGGUCAGCCACACUGGGACUGAGACACUGCCCAGACUCCUACGGGAGGCUGCAGUCGAGGAUCAUUGUCAAUGCGCGAAAGCGUGAACAUGCGGCGCUGCGUGGGGGAUGAAUGCUUUCGGGUUGUAAACCCCUGUCAUCUGGGAACAAUCGUUUGGAUACUAAUAUCAUCCAAGCUUGAUGGUACCAGAAGAGGAAGCCACGGCUAACUCUGUGCCAGCAGCCGCGGUAAUACAGAGGUGGCAAGCGUUGUUCGGAUUUACUGGGCGUAAAGGGUGCGUAGGUGGUUCCGUAUGUCGGGCGUGAAAGCCCACGGCUCAACCGUGGAACGGCGCUUGAAACUGCGGAUCUAGAGUGCAGGAAGGGAGAGCGGAAUUCUUGGUGUAGCGGUGAAAUGCGUUGAUAUCAAGAAGAACACCGGUGGCGAAGGCGGCUCUCUGGAAUGUUACUGACACUGAGGCACGAAAGCUGGGGGAGCAAACAGGAUUAGAUACCCUGGUAGUCCCAGCCGUAAACUGUGUGCACUUGGUGUGGGGGGUAUUGACCCCCCCCGUGCCGGAGCUAACGCGUUAAGUGCACCGCCUGGGGAGUACGACCGCAAGGUUAAAACUCAAAGAAAUUGACGGGGGCCCGCACAAGCGGAGGAGCAUGUGGCUUAAUUCGAUGCAACGCGAAGAACCUUACCAGGGCUUGACAUGUAACUGCACGCCCCGUGAAAGCGGGGUUCCUUCGAGGGUGUUACACAGGUGCUGCAUGGCUGUCGUCAGUUCGUGCUGUGAGGUGUUGGGUUAAGUCCCGCAACGAACGCAACCCCUAUGUUUAGUUGCCACCAUCGGUGAUGAGCCGGUGAGCACUCUAGACAGACUGCCCGUACAAGCGGGAGGAAGGUGGGGACGACGUCAAGUCAGUAUGGCCCUUACGCCCUGGGCUGCACACGUGCUACAAUGGUCGGUACAGAGGGAUGCAAUGCCGCGAGGUGGAGCAAAUCCCCAAAGCUGGCCCCAGUUCGGAUUGGAGACUGCAACUCGACUCCAUGAAGUUGGAUUCGCUAGUAACGGCGUAUCAGCUACGGCGCCGUGAAUACGUUCCCGGGCCUUGUACACACCGCCCGUCACAUCAUGAAAGCCGUCUGCACCCGAAGUCACUGUACCAACCCUCACGGGGGGGAGGUGCCGAAGGUGUGGGUGGUGAUUGGGAUGAAGUCGUAACAAGGUA